CAAGAGUUGACUGUGGAACAUUAGGAACAAAACCAAGUCCCAGGAGAGGAGCCAUGCCAGUAACCUGAGAUGUUCCUGUAAUAGUAGGGAGUGUGAGUUCCCGCUGGGGUCCAGCAGGAGAUCUGGUGAGGUAGGAAGUAAUCUCAGGUAGUCUAUGGAUAUUUCCAUGAGUGUAGGGAACCAUGGUUGAGCCAUCCAGAACGGGGAUAUGAGGAUCAAGGAGGCCCAGUAACGUCUGAGAUGAAGGAGUGUCCCAGAUAUCAGGGAGAAUGGAGGGAAAGUGUCAUGCUGAGUGUCCGGCCAUGGCUGCAGGAAAGCGUCUGAAGCCAAAGCCUGUGGAUCCGGUCUCCAGCUGAGGAAUUUUGGUAGCUGGGAGUUCAACCAUGAUGCAAAAAGGUCGAUCUCCAGAGGGCCUCAGAGUGACUGUAGUUGGAGGAAAAUGCCGCAAUUACAUAGUUAC
Non-coding RNA from Pelobates cultripes (western spadefoot toad), 460 nucleotides. Lineage: Eukaryota; Metazoa; Chordata; Amphibia; Anura; Pelobatidae. The record is from the annotation of a GenBank genome assembly.